GACGAACGCUGGCGGCGUGCCUAACACAUGCAAGUCGAACGGAAAGGCCCUGCUUUUGUGGGGUGCUCGAGUGGCGAACGGGUGAGUAACACGUGAGUAACCUGUCCUUGACUUUGGGAUAACUUCAGGAAACUGGGGCUCAUACCGGAUAGGAGCUCCUGCUGCACGGUGGGGGUUGGAAAGUUUCGGCGGUUGGGGAUAGACUCGCGGCUUAUCAGCUUGUUGGUGGGGUAGUGGCUGACCAAGGCUUUGACGGGUAGGCGGCCUGAGAGGGGGACCGGCCACCAUGGGACUGAGGGAGGGACCAGACUCCUAUGGGAGGCAGCAGUGGGGAAUAUUGCGCAAUGGGCGGACGCCUGAUGCAGCAGCGCCGCGUGCGGGAUGACGGCCUUCGGGUGGUAAACCGCUUUCGCCUGUGACGAAGCGUGAGUGACGGUAAUGGGUAAAGAAGCACCGGCUAACUACGUG
This 468-nucleotide ribosomal RNA is filed under the name uncultured bacterium. RNAcentral describes it as "partial 16S ribosomal RNA". It matches the Rfam family "Bacterial small subunit ribosomal RNA", at positions 28 to 507 of the family's 1533-position model. The record is from RNAcentral.